Molecule: ribosomal RNA, 400 nt
Filed under: uncultured fungus
Lineage: Eukaryota; Fungi
Description: SSU rRNA
Rfam family: Eukaryotic small subunit ribosomal RNA
Source: RNAcentral
GCAAGUCUGGUGCCAGCAGCCGCGGUAAUUCCAGCUCCAAUAGCGUAUAUUAAAGUUGUUGAGGUUAAAAAGCUCGUAGUUGAACCUUGGGCCUAGCCGGCCGGUCCGCCUCACCGCGUGCACUGGCUCGGCUGGGCCUUUCCUUCUGGAGAACCGCAUGCCCUUCACUGGGUGUGCUGGGGGACCAGGACUUUUACUCUGAACAAAUUAGAUCGCUUAAAGAAGGCCUAUGCUCGAAUACAUUAGCAUGGAAUAAUAGAAUAGGACGUGUGGUUCUAUUUUGUUGGUUUCUAGGACCGCCGUAAUGAUUAAUAGGGACAGUCGGGGGCAUCAGUAUUCAACAGUCAGAGGUGAAAUUCUUGGAUUUGUUGAAGACUAACUACUGCGAAAGCAUUUGCCA